AUUGAACGCUGGCGGCAGGCCUAACACAUGCCAGUCGAACGGUAACAGGAAACAGCUUGCUGUUUCGCUGACGAGUGGCGGACGGGUGAGUAAUGUCUGGGAAACUGCCUGAUGGAGGGGGAUAACUACUGGAAACGGUAGCUAAUACCGCAUAACGUCGCAAGACCAAAGAGGGGGACCUUCGGGCCUCUUGCCAUCGGAUGUGCCCAGAUGGGAUUAGCUAGUAGGUGGGGUAACGGCUCACCUAGGCGACGAUCCCUAGCUGGUCUGAGAGGAUGACCAGCCACACUGGAACUGAGACACGGUCCAGACUCCUACGGGAGGCAGCAGUGGGGAAUAUUGCACAAUGGGCGCAGGCCUGAUGCAGCCAUGCCGCGUGUAUGAAGAAGGCCUUCGGGUUGUAAAGUACUUUCAGCGGGGAGGAAGGGAGUAAAGUUAAUACCUUUACUCAUUGACGUUACCCGCAGAAGAAGCACCGGCUAACUCCGUG
This 490-nucleotide ribosomal RNA is filed under the name uncultured bacterium. Its description in RNAcentral is "partial 16S ribosomal RNA". It matches the Rfam family "Bacterial small subunit ribosomal RNA", at positions 30 to 507 of the family's 1533-position model. The record is from RNAcentral.